GUCUAGGUAGCUCAGAGCGGUAGAGCAGCGAGCGCAACGCGAACUCUCAUCCAUGCAGGUCGCGGGUUCGAUCCCCGCCCUAGACC
This 86-nucleotide transfer RNA is filed under the name Pseudomonas aeruginosa. RNAcentral's name for it is "tRNA-Ala". It matches the Rfam family "tRNA". Rfam says of the family: Transfer RNA (tRNA) molecules are approximately 80 nucleotides in length. Their secondary structure includes four short double-helical elements and three loops (D, anti-codon, and T loops). The record is from RNAcentral. Lineage: Bacteria; Pseudomonadati; Pseudomonadota; Gammaproteobacteria; Pseudomonadales; Pseudomonadaceae.